UGUUAGGACCUACGAGCUAAUGUGUAAACAGUUUCUAUGAAUGUAAGCCUCCUAAAAGAUAAUGAAGGCAUGCAAAGGUUUCUUCGAGUCGAAUGGAGAUUGUCCCUUGGCUUGAUUGCAAGACCCACUGCUGAGUAGGGACAAAAGUUGGCCUUAGUGAUCCAACGAUAUCAAGUGGAAGGCCAUUGCUCAACGGAUAAAAAUUACUUUAGGCAUAACAGGCUAAUCUUCCCCAAAAGUUCAUGUCGACUGUGUGGUUGUUGAUAUCUUAUAAUUAACUCUCAACUUAUUGAUUUGAGUUUUUUUGGGCCA
This 312-nucleotide non-coding RNA is filed under the name Eucalyptus grandis. Its description in RNAcentral is "Bacterial large subunit ribosomal RNA". It matches the Rfam family "Bacterial large subunit ribosomal RNA", at positions 2236 to 2579 of the family's 2925-position model. Lineage: Eukaryota; Viridiplantae; Streptophyta; Magnoliopsida; Myrtales; Myrtaceae. The record is from Rfam by way of RNAcentral.